RNAcentral lists this ribosomal RNA (340 nucleotides) under uncultured bacterium. RNAcentral's name for it is "partial 16S ribosomal RNA". It matches the Rfam family "Bacterial small subunit ribosomal RNA", at positions 338 to 675 of the family's 1533-position model. The record is from RNAcentral.
CCUACGGGUGGCAGCAGUGAGGAAUAUUGGUCAAUGGAGGCAACUCUGAACCAGCCAAGUAGCGUGCAGGAUGACGGCCCUAUGGGUUGUAAACUUCUUUUAUGCGGGAAUAAACUGAGUCACGUGUGGCUUAUUGCAUGUACCUCAUGAAUAAGGACCGGCUAAUUCCGUGCCAGCAGCCGCGGUAAUACGGAGGGUCCGGGCGUUAUCCGGAUUUAUUGGGUUUAAAGGGAGCGCCGGGGGCUGGUUAAGGUAGUGGUGAAAGGCGGCGGAUAAACCGUGAAAUUGCAAUGGAAACGGGGAGUAUAGAGCACGGGGGAGGUAGGGGGAAUGCGUGGUG